RNAcentral lists this ribosomal RNA (468 nucleotides) under uncultured bacterium. RNAcentral describes it as "partial 16S ribosomal RNA". It matches the Rfam family "Bacterial small subunit ribosomal RNA", at positions 28 to 507 of the family's 1533-position model. The record is from RNAcentral.
GACGAACGCUGGCGGCGUGCUUAACACAUGCAAGUCGAACGGAAAGGCCCUGAUUUUGUGGGGUGCUCGAGUGUCGAUCGCGUGUGUAUCACGUGAGUAUCCUGCCCUUUACUUUUGGGUAACAUCAUGGAACUGGGGCUAAUAUCCCAUAGAAGAUCCCGCUGCAUGGUGGGGGGUGGAAAGUUUCGGCGGUGCGGGAUGAACUCGCGGCUUAUCAGCUUGUUGGUGGGGUAGUGGCUUACCAAGGCUUUGACGGGUAGCCGGCCUGAGAGGGUGAACGGCCACAUUGGGACUGAGAUACGGACCAGACUCCUACGGGAGGCAGCAGUGGGGAAUAUUGCACAAUGGGCGGAAGCCUGAUGCAGCGACGCCGCGUGGGGGAUGACGGCCUUCGGGUUGUAAACCGCUUUCGCCUGUGACGAAGCGUGUGUGACGGUACCGGGAAAAGAAGCACCGGCUAACUACGUG